Molecule: ribosomal RNA, 832 nt
Filed under: uncultured Microgenomates group bacterium
Lineage: Bacteria
Description: bacterial SSU rRNA
Rfam family: Bacterial small subunit ribosomal RNA
Source: RNAcentral
UCAGGAUGAACGCNGGCGACGUGGAUAAGGCAUGCAAGUCGAACGGUUGUAGCAAUACAACAGUGGCGAACGGGUUAGUAACACGUAGAUAUCAACCCUUUACUCGGGCAUAACCUGGAGAAAUCUAGGCUAAUUCCCGAUAGUCCGGAAACGGUAAAGAUUUUUCGGUAAAGGAUGAGUCUGCGUCCUAUCAGCUAGUUGGUGAGGUAAUGGCUCACCAAGGCAAUGACGGGUAGGCGGAGUGAGAGCUUGACCGCCAACAAUGGCACUGAGACACGGGCCAUACUCCUACGGGAGGCAGCAGUCGAGAAUAUUUGACAAUGGGCGAAAGCCUGAUCAAGCGACGUCGCGUGUGGGAUUAAGAUCUUCGGAUUGUAAACCACUUUUCUAGGGGAAGAACUUUGACUGUACCCUAGGAAUAAGGGGUGACUAAACUCGUGCCAGCAGUAGCGGUAAUACGAGUGCCCCAAGCGUUAUCCGGAUUUAUUGGGCGUAAAGGGUCUGUAGGUGGUUUGUUAAGUUUCUCGUUAAAGCUCCAGGGCUUAACCUUGGAAAAGCGGGAAAAACUGGCAAACUAGAGGAUGUUAGAGGCUGAUGGAACACUUGGUGAAGGGGUGGAAUCCGUUGAUAUCAAGUGGAACACCGAAAGCGAAAGCAAUCAGCUGGGACAGUCCUGACACUGAAAGACGAAAGCGUGGGGAGAGAAAAGGAUUAGAUACCCUUGUAUUCCACGCCUUAAACGAUGAAUACUAGCUAUUGCAAGUGUCGACCCUUGCAGUGNCGAAGCUAACGCGUUAAGUAUUCCGCCUGGGAAGUACGGCCGCAAGGCUAA